UACAGAGAGGCUCGUGUAUUACCAUUACAAACACUCAUUACACAUUGUCUGUACAUACUAACAGACUGCCAUAUUUAAAGGUUGGAUUGAGGGAUAUAUCCAACCCCUCGCAUCCCUGUAAAAGUCUCCCAAUGUCAUAGGCUGGGUUGAGGGAUAUAUCCAGACCCCUCACACCCCUGGAAAAGUCACCCAAAAUCAUAGGUCGGGUUGAGGGAUAUAUCCGACCCCUCGCACCCCUGGAAAAGUCACCCAAAAUAAUAGGUCAGGUUUAGGGAUAUAUCCAGACCCCUUGCACCCCUGGAAAAGUCACCCAAAAUCAUAGGUCGGGUUGAGGGAUAUAUCCAGACCCCUUGCACCCCUGGAAAAGUCACCCAAAAUCAUAGGUCGGGUCUAGGGAUAUAUCCAGACCCCUUGCACCCCUGGAAAAGUCACCCAAAAUCAUAGGUCAGGUUGAGGGAUAUAUCCAACCCCUCGCACCCCUGGAAAAGUCACCCAAAAUCAUAGGUUGGUUUGAGGGAUAUAUCCAGACCCCUUGCACCCCUGGAAAAGUCACCCAAAGUCAUAGGCUGGGUUGAGGGAUAUAUCCAGACCCCUCGCACCCCUGGAAAAGUCACCCAAAAUCGUAGGUCAGGUUUAGGGAUAUAUCCAGACCCCUUGCACCCCUGGAAAAGUCACCCAAAAUCAUAGGUCAGGUUUAGGGAUAUAUCCAGACCCCUUGCACCCCUGGAAAAGUCUCCCAAAAUCAUAGGUCAGGUUUAGGGAUAUAUCCAGACCCCUUGCACCCCUGGAAAAGUCACCCAAAAUCGUAGGUCAGGUUUAGGGAUAUAUCCAGACCCCUUGCACCCCUGGAAAAGUCACCCAAAAUCGUAGGUUGGGUCUAGGGAUAUAUCCAACCCCUUGCGCCUCUGUAAAAAAAUGUCAAGCCCCGGAAAACGACUUUGACACGAGUAUGUACAAAGUCAAGCCUCUAAAUACGACUUUGAGUAUGUACAAUACACAGUCACCCUUCAAAUAGCACGGUUUCCAAUAGCUCGGUUUUGGUUUUCCGUGGAUUUUCGAAGAAGAUUUUUAAGGAUUUUUAAAUUUCCCGACAAGCAGGAAAUUUAAAAAUCCUAAAACAUCUUCCAUGACAAUCCGUAUAAAACCGAACUAUUGGAAACCGUACUAUUUAAGGGCCAACUGUACUUGAAUUUUACUCCCAUGUGGGUCAUUAGCAAGGUCAUUAGCAAGUUGCUGUACAUAGAUGAUACAAAGUGUAGACUAGUUAUCAUGUGAAGUAAUUUAAUUAGAAUAGUAUUUUUUGUAGCGUUAGCUGUAAAAUGAUUUAUAGUAUUUCUCUGUACGUUAGCAGUCAGUUAAUUUAUACUGUAUGUUCGUAGCAUAAGCAUUCACAUAAUUUACACUAUUUUUCUAGGUUCAGCAUUUUAAUUUACAUUUUUUCUGUAGCUUAAGUAUUUAAAUAAUUUUCACUUUUUCUGUAGCUUAACCUGUAAAAUGCUGUAUGUUUGUGGUGUAAGCAUUCAUAUAAUUCACACUAUUUUUCUAGCCUCAGCAUUUACAGAGUUUAUGCUUUUUUUUUUUGUAGCUUAAGUAUUUAAAUAAUUUACACUUUUUCUGUAGCUUAAGCUGUAAAAUGCUGUGUUCGUAGCAUAAGCAUUCACAUAAUUUACACUAUUUUUCUAGGUUCAGCAUUUUAAUUUACACUUUUUCUGUAGCUUAAGUAUUUAAAUAAUUUACACUUUUUCUGUAGCUUAACCUGUAAAAUGCUGUAUGUUUGUGGCCUAAGCAUUCACAUAAUUCACACUAUUUUUCUAUCUUCAGCAUUUUAAUUUACACUUUUUCUGUAGCUUAAGUAUUUAAAUAAUUUACACUUUUUCUGUAGCUUAACCUGUAAAAUAAGUUAUACUAUUUCUCUGUAAGUUAAACCUUCAAUUGCUUUAUACUUAUUUUCUGUAGCUUAAUCAUUCACAUAAUCUACACUAUUUUUCUGUAGCAAAUAUAAGCUUUAAAAUAAAUUAUACUAUUUUUCUGUAAGUUAAGUUCAGUUGCUUUAUACUUAUUUUCUGUAGCUUAAUCAUUCACAUAAUCUACACUAUUUUUCUGUAGCAUAUAUAAGCUUUAAAAUAAGUUAUUCUGUUUUUUCUGUAGCUCAAUCAUUCACAUAAUCUACACUAUUUUUCUGUAGCAUAUAUAAGCUUUAAAAUAGGUUACUCUAUUUUUCUGUAGCUUAAUCAUUCAGAUAAUCUACACUAUUUUUCUGUAAGUUAAGUUCAAUUGCUUUAUACUUAUUUUCUGUAGCUCAAUCAUUCACAUAAUCUACACUAUUUUUCUGUAGCAUAUAUAAGCUUUAAAAUCAGUUAUUCUAUUUUUCUGUAGCUUCAUCAGUCAUAUAGUUUAAUAAGAGUCCACUGAGUUGCAUUACGUCGUGUCAUGGCCAAGGCUGGACACGAGACGGCUGGUUGUUAUCACUGGAGCCCCAAGAGGUUGGUGGCGCUGCAUGUAGUUGGUUCACCCGAGUCUGAGGUGAUUGAUUGAUUGAUUGAUAGUUUAUUGUUGCAGGUAAACAACAAAGGAGAAGGGAGGAACAUGCCAUCCCAACCCCCAGGCAGGACAGAGUGUGAUUAUACAACUAUUAAUUGGCAACUUGCAGGCACACGGCACACUGUUCGAUUUCAUGAAAAAGAUACGAUUCACUUAAGAAACACAUAUUUGUCUGUGCCGAGGACAAUAAUCCAGGAGGUAAGGUUACGGUGUUAUAGUGUGCCGGAAUUCGACGGAGGUGGUUUUAAUAUUGUUGGUGCUGGCUCAGAAGGGCGCCACACUGUAAAUAUCAGCAGCAACCUUACUUAUUAACAAAACAGCGGUCUGCAACACUACUGAUCACCUCAAACUCAAAAUCUACUAUAAUUGGUGGUAUUGAUCAUUGCUGUCUGUAUAUUGCACAUACAGUGGAGGUGUAUACAGGAAGACUUGGCAUUGAUGGGAUUGGAUGAGCAUUGGGCAGAAGACAGAGUAGAAUGGAGGAGAGCCACAAAGCGUCCAGCCGCUCAGGAAGUGAACACGGACGUUAAACAAAAUGAUGGUGAUGAUAUCGCACACACAUAUGAGCGUUUCUGAAGUGAAUUGUAUCUUCUUUCACAAAAUCGGACUUGCCGUGUGGCUGCAGGUUUCCGUCGCACGAUAAUGCACACCUCAGACUCGGGUGAAGCGACCAUAGCACCGGACACAUCGCCAGGGAGGUGGAGUUAAGAGUCGCUCCUUACAACCCUUGGGAGCAGAUGAUGUGAGACCCAAAAGCAUUUAACGGUACCGACCUCAAGGCUGUGACACGCCCAAGAAGUGUGGUGAGAAAUAUUUCCGUGCAGCGCUGAGUGGAGGGAGUGUGUGGUGAGGAACAGUUCUGGCCGGAGGGGUUUAUCUCUCCCCCGUAAACCAACACUGUGAGGGAGAUGAAGGACAGAAUACCCUCCUUGAGCUGACUCCUUUGACGUAAAAACAACGACAAAAACUGAGGCAUAACAGACUAAAGUUCUCGAUUGUGUCUGGAAACAUGCGACCUUAAAUUUUGUAUGUAAUUACGUAUUUAUUUAUGUAUUUAUUUUAGACUAAUGUGUUGAUUUACUUUCCUAUUACCAUCAUUACAGACAUCAUUGUUAAUAUUUGAUGACUCACUCUUUUUGUUUAUCUAUAUUUCUUUACGUCGGUGCUGCCAGCGAUGUAUUCUGAUCCCAGUUUGACGAGGCUGAGAAUUAAACUAUGUACAAUAUGA
Eriocheir sinensis (Chinese mitten crab) is the source of this 3769-nucleotide long non-coding RNA. RefSeq lists it as uncharacterized. NCBI's taxonomy places the organism in Eukaryota, Metazoa, Arthropoda, Malacostraca, Decapoda, Varunidae. The record is from RefSeq and is a predicted model, not a curated record. The transcript is spliced from 6 exons.